UUGAUGAAGAUGCUGAUGGAUAUAAGCCAACAGAAAUAUACCUUACUCUAUCACCUAUUUUAAACAAAAGAUUCCUAGAUGUCCCAGAAGAGGAGGGAACCACAUCAGCAUCCAUCUUUGGUUGAGAUUCCUGACCAGAGGAAGAAAGUGCAUUUGAAGAGCUGGGUGCAUCUGCUUCAAUGCCUGAUGGAUUCGCACUUUUUGAUAAGUCUGUGUCUAUAGGACUUUGUUUGGCACUAGUGCAGGAUUUUUCUGCAUUAAAUCCAUCCUUCAAGAACUCAGCUUCCUUUGAAGACAAACCACCCAAAAAAGAAUGGCUAUCAAAUAUGAGUAACUUAGCACCAAAGUAGUUAGCAAGGGCCUUUGCCAACAUCUCCUGAUAUAUCUCAGAACCUGCUGGACCGGAAAGCAAAAUCCGUGGAUUAACAGUGGUAAGUUCUGCAGUAUACUUAACAUGUUCUUUGUGCCUCAGGUGUAUAAAUGAAGCUGCAAUCAGUACAUUUUUUGUGUUCUCACUUAAAUAGUAAGGAAAAUUAUCAAAUGAAACUUCCAUAUUUUUGCCAUCAAGAAUUCCAGCACAAAUGUCUUCUUUGAGUACAGCACAACGCAAUGACAUACCAGAGGUUGAUGCCAGCUGUGAAUCCCUUGUCCACUCGUUCCUUUCUUCCAAUACCUGUUUACAGAUACUUUUGCUCAAUUUUUGUUUACAACUAGUUGAUCGAGCUAACAUCCUGAAGAAAGGCCUUAUCAAAUC
This 754-nucleotide unclassified non-coding RNA is filed under the name Hevea brasiliensis (rubber tree). The record is from RNAcentral. Lineage: Eukaryota; Viridiplantae; Streptophyta; Magnoliopsida; Malpighiales; Euphorbiaceae.